This 68-nucleotide transfer RNA is filed under the name Proagoderus schwaneri. RNAcentral describes it as "tRNA-Asn". The record is from RNAcentral. Lineage: Eukaryota; Metazoa; Arthropoda; Insecta; Coleoptera; Scarabaeidae.
UUAAUUGAAGCCAAAAAGCGGCAUAUCACUGUUAAUGAUAUUAUUAGAUAACUACCAUCUCAAUUAAA